Molecule: RNA transcript, 1889 nt
Organism: Vitis vinifera (wine grape)
Lineage: Eukaryota; Viridiplantae; Streptophyta; Magnoliopsida; Vitales; Vitaceae
Exons: 6
Source: RefSeq, a predicted model, not a curated record
UUGUUUGUUGCGUCUUGUACUUUAGGUAUUUUUCUCGAAUGUCGAUUUGUUUGCUCCUGUUGAAUUCCUUGUUGAAUACAUAUACGUGUGGUUCUGUGUUUUGUUUGUCGCCUUGCUCUUGUGAAUAGCCAUUUGUUUGCUCGAUAAUCAACGCUUUUCUUGGCACUUUCAGGGUUUUUAGGGUUUCGUAAUGGUGGUUAUUGUAUUAGAUAUUUUGAUUGUGAUAAUGAUGAUAUUAAUUGAACCUUUUGUGGAAAGAAGGUAACUUUCAUUCCAAAAGUUGAUAAUCUGUUGUUUGGGGGGCGGGGGCUUCCACUUGAGUGCAUUUUGGAUUGAUUGGAGUGGAGAAUGCAAAGGGGUUUUUCUCUGUUUAGUAUUGUUAGGUUUACGCACAUGAUUCAAUUGCAUAAUUUGUAUGGUGAGUUGGUGAUUGUGCUGGGCGACUGUUAUUGACCCAUUGUGUUUGUGGCUGCUAGUACGCAAUGCCAGUUGCCUCCCAAACAGAGGCGGGCUUUUAGUCAUUUUUUGGGUAUCUAGCCCUCUCAAGGCGGAUAUUGCCCUAAUGGGUUUGUGGUUUUGGUGCUACUACAUACUCCCAUUGUUUUGCCUGUGUGGUGAUGCCUGCCAUUUAAGGAUUUACGUGAAGAAAAGACAAAUAAUUGUUUGUUGAAUAUGUUUUAAUUAUAAAGUUUUGUUUAUGUAGUUUUCUGUUAUCGAAUAUGUAAUCCGUAAGUAAAAGAAAGCAAACAAGCUGAUCCCACAUUAUCCUCAAAAUCACUGAGAAGAACUAUCUGAAUCUGAAGUCAAGGAGAGAUCACUAUUCGAUUGAAUGAUCCCAGCUAAUAAGGAUGACUACUCAGGACAUUUCAGAAAAAUCAGUGCUGCGUAUCAUGCAGAGGGAGCAAGAGAGAGAAAGACGCCGGAUCAGGGACAGACAAAGAAGACAAUCUAUGAGUCUUGAAGAGAGAGAAAAACAUCUUGCCAGACGUCGCAGAAACUAUCAAUUGCGAAGACAAAAGGCUGAUAAUUCUCAAUCGGAUUCUCAAUGCAAACAAACAAGUGCUAGGACUGGUGGAGAUCAAAACACAAGGAAUGAAUAUCAAGCUGCAACUACUGCAUCUGAACUUUGUGUGCAAAGUGAGGUUAUCACUCAUAUUGGAUUAAAUCAAGGGCAAGACAAACUGGAUGUGUCAAGCAUAAAGUUUGAGGAUAUGGAAGCUGGAGGUCACAAAUUAGCUAAAUUCCCAAGAAGACUACGGUUAAGUCAUGUAAGGCAUCUUGCACGAUCAAUAAACAAUCCCAUGGACGAGCUAACUGGUGACAAUCGUCCGAUAGGGGCAGAUGCGGUAACAAAGAAAAAUGCAAGCACCAAGUUUGGAGGUACUGAUCCAGGUUCACCAAAAAGAUUGCGCUUAAAUCAUGUUAAACGUCUUGCAAGGGCAGUACAUUCUACAGUGAAGGAGAGUGCUAGUCACAAAAGCAAAGAGUGAAAAAGAAGGAUGAACCAACCUCUCGUGCUAAUGUAAAAAAAGACAGCCUUUUAGGGCUUACACAUCAUGAAUGACAUUCUUCAUAUCUUAUUCCAAUAAAUGUUGGGUUCAAGAUGUAGGAUGGAGAAAGCUACGGUUACUAGCAAAGGGGACGAGGCUGAUGAAGAUAAAAACAAUAGUUGAGACUCGAUUACAUUUAGGACUUCACAUGAUACUGGACAAAUCUAAACUGAAAGUGUCCCCCAAGAUGCGAUGUGUUUGAUAUUGGUUUUGCUGGAACCUGCAUGCAUUGUUAAUUCAAAUUUUAAAUUGAUACAGAGGGACUCCCAACUGACAGUUGGGAUGAAUACUUGGAAGAUGUUGAUUGAUAGAGAGUGUGAAUUUUUACUGAUUUGUUGA